UGGGCAACCAUGAGUACAGUGGCGUACGGGUGAGUAACACGUGGGUGAUCUACCUCUUAGUGGGGAAUAACCCUGGGAAACCGGGGCUAAUACCGCAUAAGCUCGAGAGAGGAAAGCAGCAAUGCGCUGAGAGAGGAGCCCGCGGCCGAUUAGCUAGUUGGUAGGGUAAGAGCCUACCAAGGCAGAGAUCGGUAGCCGGCCUGAGAGGGCACACGGCCACACUGGCACUGAAACACGGGCCAGACUCCUACGGGAGGCAGCAGUGGGGAAUCUUGCACAAUGGGGGCAACCCUGAUGCAGCGACGCCGCGUGAGCGAUGAAGCCCUUCGGGGUGUAAAGCUCUUUCGGCAGGGAAGAUGAUGACGGUACCUGCAGAAGCAGCUGCGGCUAACUACGUGCCAGCAGCCGCGGUAAUACGUAGGCAGCGAGCGUUGUUCGGAGUUACUGGGCGUAAAGGGUGUGUAGGCGGUCUUUCAAGUUUGGUGUGAAAUCUCCCGGCUCAACCGGGAGGGUGCGCCGAAUACUGAGAGACUUGGAGUGCGGGAGAGGAAAGUGGAAUUCCUGGUGUAGCGGUGAAAUGCGUAGAUAUCAGGAGGAACACCGGUGGUGUAGACGGCUUUCUGGACCGUAACUGACGCUGAGACACGAAAGCGUGGGUAGCAAACAGGAUUAGAUACCCUGGUAGUCCACGCCCUAAACGAUGCAUAUUUGGUGUGGGCAGUUCAUUCUGUCCGUGCCGGAGCUAACGCGUUAAAUAUGCCGCCUGGGGAGUACAGUCGCAAGGCUGAAACUCAAAGGAAUUGAC
This 805-nucleotide ribosomal RNA is filed under the name uncultured Bacillota bacterium. Its description in RNAcentral is "bacterial SSU rRNA". It matches the Rfam family "Bacterial small subunit ribosomal RNA", at positions 76 to 914 of the family's 1533-position model. Lineage: Bacteria; Bacillati; Bacillota. The record is from RNAcentral.